Molecule: ribosomal RNA, 264 nt
Filed under: uncultured archaeon
Lineage: Archaea
Description: partial 16S ribosomal RNA
Rfam family: Archaeal small subunit ribosomal RNA
Source: RNAcentral
AGUCACUGACAUUAGAUACCCGGGUAGUCCAGGGUGUAAACGCUGCAGACUUGGUGUUGGAAGUCCUUUGGGGGCAUUCAGUGCCGGAGAGAAGUUGUUAAGUCUGCUACUUGGGGAGUACGUCCGCAAGGAUGAAACUUAAAGGAAUUGGCGGGGGAGCACCGCAACGGGAGGAGCGUGCGGUUUAAUUGGAUUCAACACCGUAAACUCACCAGGGAAGACCGUUACAUGAAGGCCGAGAUGAAGACUCUGCUAGAUUUUCAG